This 77-nucleotide transfer RNA is filed under the name Ahniella affigens. Its description in RNAcentral is "tRNA-His". It matches the Rfam family "tRNA". From Rfam's summary of the family: Transfer RNA (tRNA) molecules are approximately 80 nucleotides in length. Lineage: Bacteria; Pseudomonadati; Pseudomonadota; Gammaproteobacteria; Lysobacterales; Rhodanobacteraceae. The record is from RNAcentral.
GUGGAAUUAGCUCAGCUGGUUAGAGCACCGGAUUGUGAUUCCGGGGGUCGUGGGUUCAAAUCCCAUAUUCCACCCCA